UGUCUAUGCCUUUCGGGGCAUUUCCUCCCUAGUCUUUGGCCGCGCUCGUAUCGUUCGGGCGCGGUUCUUUUUAUCUGCA
RNAcentral lists this small RNA (79 nucleotides) under Brucella intermedia. Its description in RNAcentral is "suhB". It matches the Rfam family "Makes More Granules Regulator RNA (mmgR)". Rfam says of the family: SuhB later renamed mmgR (makes more granules regulator) was a putative non-coding RNA found multiple times in the Agrobacterium tumefaciens genome and related alpha-proteobacteria. Other non-coding RNAs uncovered in the same analysis include: speF, ybhL, metA, and serC. Several studies inSinorhizobium meliloti showed that suhB element is indeed a non-coding RNA:firstly it was detected on Northern blot and called Sm8RNA, secondly in an RNAseq study referred to as SmelC689. Lineage: Bacteria; Pseudomonadati; Pseudomonadota; Alphaproteobacteria; Hyphomicrobiales; Brucellaceae. The record is from RNAcentral.